Molecule: ribosomal RNA, 789 nt
Filed under: uncultured bacterium
Lineage: Bacteria
Description: bacterial SSU rRNA
Rfam family: Bacterial small subunit ribosomal RNA
Source: RNAcentral
GCGUAAAGAGCUUGUAGGCGGUUUGUCGCGUCUGCUGUGAAAAUCCGGGGCUCAACCCCGGACUUGCAGUGGGUACGGGCAGACUAGAGUGUGGUAGGGGAGACUGGAAUUCCUGGUGUAGCGGUGAAAUGCGCAGAUAUCAGGAGGAACACCGAUGGCGAAGGCAGGUCUCUGGGCCACUACUGACGCUGAGAAGCGAAAGCAUGGGGAGCGAACAGGAUUAGAUACCCUGGUAGUCCAUGCCGUAAACGUUGGGCGCUAGGUGUGGGACUCAUUCCACGAGUUCCGUGCCGCAGCUAACGCAUUAAGCGCCCCGCCUGGGGAGUACGGCCGCAAGGCUAAAACUCAAAGGAAUUGACGGGGGCCCGCACAAGCGGCGGAGCAUGCGGAUUAAUUCGAUGCAACGCGAAGAACCUUACCAAGGCUUGACAUAUACCGGAAACUUCCAGAGAUGGUUGCCCCCUUUGGGUCGGUAUACAGGUGGUGCAUGGUUGUCGUCAGCUCGUGUCGUGAGAUGUUGGGUUAAGUCCCGCAACGAGCGCAACCCUCGUUCUAUGUUGCCAGCACGUAAUGGUGGGGACUCAUGGAAGACUGCCGGGGUCAACUCGGAGGAAGGUGGGGAUGACGUCAAAUCAUCAUGCCCCUUAUGUCUUGGGCUUCACGCAUGCUACAAUGGCCGGUACAAAGGGCUGCGAUACCGCAAGGUGGAGCGAAUCCCAAAAAACCGGUCUCAGUUCGGAUUGGGGUCUGCAACUCGACCCCAUGAAGUCGGAGUCGCUAGUAAUCGCA